CGCAUCUGUGCAUGCAGCAUAUCAAUAAGCGGAGGAAAAGAAACUAACAAGGAUUCCCUUAGUAACGGCGAGUGAAGCGGGAAGAGCUCAAGUUUGAAAUCUUAAAGGGUUUCCCUUUACGAAUUGUAGUUUAAAGAAGUGUUUUCUGUUGAAGUUUUGGUGAAAGUUCUUUGGAAUAGGACAUCAUAGAGGGUGAGAAUCCCGUAUUUGACCAUUACUUUCAGCUGUGUGAUACACUUUCAAAGAGUCGGAUUGUUAGGGAAUGCAGUCCAAAAUGGGUGGUAAAUUUCAUCUAAAGCUAAAUAUUGGCGAGAGACCGAUAGCGAACAAGUACCGUGAGGGAAAGAUGAAAAGAACUUUGAAAAGAGAGUUAAACAGUACGUGAAAUUGUCCAAAAGGGAAGCGUUUGACACCAGUGUUGUUUUUCUGAAAAUCAAUUAAAGAACUGUUUAUGCUAAGUUGUUUAGACUUUAUCAGCUAUCUGUUUAGUUUUGAGCUUUUCUUUAAUGCACUUUUCAGUUAACAAGUCAACAUCAAUUUCUUUUGCUGUAAAAAAGCUUGAGGAAGGUGGCUUGAGAUUCGUCUUAAGUGUUUAUAGCCUCUUGCCUAUGCAGUCGGAGAGAUUGAGGUCUGCAGCGUAGAUCCUUCGGGGCUAAAUGCAUUUGUGCUAAGUUAUAGCAUUUUAUAGACAACUUGUUGACUAUGAUUUGUCUUGUAGCUUACUCGCUUAUGUUAUUUUACCUACGCUUAGGAUGUUGAUAGUCACAGCGUGUAC
This 775-nucleotide ribosomal RNA is filed under the name uncultured Neocallimastigales. Its description in RNAcentral is "partial large subunit ribosomal RNA". It matches the Rfam family "Eukaryotic large subunit ribosomal RNA", at positions 26 to 642 of the family's 3401-position model. Lineage: Eukaryota; Fungi; Neocallimastigomycota; Neocallimastigomycetes; Neocallimastigales. The record is from RNAcentral.